Micropterus dolomieu (smallmouth bass) is the source of this 824-nucleotide long non-coding RNA. RefSeq lists it as uncharacterized. The transcript has 3 exons. The record is from RefSeq and is a predicted model, not a curated record. NCBI's taxonomy places the organism in Eukaryota, Metazoa, Chordata, Actinopteri, Centrarchiformes, Centrarchidae.
UGGCACACACCUUAAUAUUAGCCAAGAAUUGAGGAAUUGUGUGCUAAUUGAAAACAUAGCAUUCAAGAAGAGAAUGUAAGCAAAUGAAACAACGAUGUGGACGAGGGCAAGUGGAACAAAUUUGGACAAUUUUUUAAGGUCUAGCAUCAUGAAUUUGCUGAAGCAGAGUUUCAGGGGUACAAGAAUACCUAAGCAAAAUGUCCAUUGAUGAAGGCCUAGGAUGCAGCUGAAAGCUCUAAAAGAAAUCUACAGUGUAGUUGCUCUAAAGCAGACACAACUGCAGUGUCAGAUGCAGUCCUAAUUGAAAAGUUAAUUAACUUUUGGAAGUCAUCAGCUGUCAUUCCUGCGAAUCAGACUCCAGUCAGGCCCCUGGGACCAACUGCAUAUCAGUCUUAAUGGCUGGGGACCCACUGCUUGGCUACGUGGGAACAUUUGGUCAUGGAAAGUACCAUUUAUAGAGUAUUGUUUAAUUAAAGUCAAAUUAAGAGAACUGUAUGCAGAAUUUAAUUUCUGGUAUGAAUUAUUGUAGAAAACAGAGUGCAACUCAGAUAAUCAAACUUUUCAUUAUCUUCUCCUCCCUCCUGAGGUGCCGCUGCUGACUCCCAACACAUAAAUGAGAGGAAGCUACCCACAAUGUAUUGCAGAUCUACAAGUCUUCUCUCAUACAUCAACUUCCUUCUGUCAAACAUUUUUGUUUUUAACCAACAAAAGCUUCAAUUCCAUUUCUCAAAAGUUUUGCUAUUUGUGUGAUAGUUAAAAUUCCACAUAUAUUAUAAGGGCCACCAUGAAAAUGGUGUGUCAGAAACAGUUUGUUAACCAGUGAU